Molecule: ribosomal RNA, 1387 nt
Filed under: metagenome
Description: bacterial SSU rRNA
Rfam family: Bacterial small subunit ribosomal RNA
Source: RNAcentral
AGAGUUUGAUCCCAGCUCAGGAUGAACGCUGGCGGCGUGCUUAACACAUGCAAGUCGAACGAACCUUCGGGUUAGUGGCGGACGGGUGAGUAACGCGUGGGAAUCUGCCCUCAGGAGGGGGAUAACGGCUGGAAACGGCCGCUAAUACCCCAUAUGCCGAGAGGUGAAAAGAAAUUCGCCUGAGGAUGAGCCCGCGUCUGAUUAGCUAGUUGGUGGGGUAAGAGCUCACCAAGGCGACGAUCAGUAGCUGGUCUGAGAGGAUGAUCAGCCACACUGGGACUGAGACACGGCCCAGACUCCUACGGGAGGCAGCAGUGAGGAAUUUUCCGCAAUGGGCGAAAGCCUGACGGAGCAACGCCGCGUGAGGGAUGAAGGCCUCUGGGCUGUAAACCUCUUUUCUCAAGGAAGAAGACAUGACGGUACUUGAGGAAUAAGCCACGGCUAAUUCCGUGCCAGCAGCCGCGGUAAUACGGGAGUGGCAAGCGUUAUCCGGAAUUAUUGGGCGUAAAGCGUCCGCAGGCGGCCCUGUAAGUCUGUCGUUAAAGCGUGGAGCUUAACUCCAUUUAAGCGAUGGAAACUACAGGGCUUGAGUGUGGUAGGGGCAGAGGGAAUUCCCGGUGUAGCGGUGAAAUGCGUAGAUAUCGGGAAGAACAUCAGUGGCGAAGGCGCUCUGCUGGGCCAUAACUGACGCUCAUGGACGAAAGCCAGGGGAGCGAAAGGGAUUAGAUACCCCUGUAGUCCUGGCCGUAAACGAUGAACACUAGGUGUCGGGGGAAUCGACCCCCUCGGUGUCGUAGCCAACGCGUUAAGUGUUCCGCCUGGGGAGUACGCACGCAAGUGUGAAACUCAAAGGAAUUGACGGGGGCCCGCACAAGCGGUGGAGUAUGUGGUUUAAUUCGAUGCAACGCGAAGAACCUUACCAGGGUUUGACAUCCUGCGAAUCCCUUGGAAACGAGGGAGUGCCUUCGGGAGCGCAGAGACAGGUGGUGCAUGGCUGUCGUCAGCUCGUGUCGUGAGAUGUUGGGUUAAGUCCCGCAACGAGCGCAACCCACGUCUUUAGUUGCCAGCAUUCAGUUGGGCACUCUAGAGAGACCGCCGGUGAUAAACCGGAGGAAGGUGUGGAUGACGUCAAGUCAUCAUGCCCCUUACAUCCUGGGCUACACACGUACUACAAUGCUACGGACAAAGGGCAGCAAGCUCGCGAGAGUUAGCAAAUCCCAUAAACCGUGGCUCAGUUCAGAUCGUAGGCUGCAACUCGCCUACGUGAAGGAGGAAUCGCUAGUAAUCGCAGGUCAGCAUACUGCGGUGAAUACGUUCCCGGGCCUUGUACACACCGCCCGUCACACCAUGGAAGUUGGCCAUGCCCGAAGUCGUUACUCCAACCCCG